CUACGGGAGGCUGCAGUGGGGAAUAUUGGACAAUGGGGGAAACCCUGAUCCAGCAAUGCCGCGUGUGUGAAGAAGGCCUGCGGGUUGUAAAGCACUUUCGGUUGGGAGGACUGCUUCUAGCACUAAUAUUGUUGGAAGUUGACGUUACCUUCAGAAGAAGCACCGGCUAACUCCGGUGCCAGCAGCCGCGGUAAUACGGAGGGUGCAAGCGUUAAUCGGAAUUACUGGGCGUAAAGCGCGCGUAGGCGGCUAGAUCAGUCGGGUGUGAAAGCCCCGGGCUUAACCUGGGAACUGCAUCCGAUACUGUCUAGCUUGAGUACAGGAGAGGAGAGUGGAAUUCCACAUGUAGCGGUGAAAUGCGUAGAUAUGUGGAGGAAUACCAAUGGCGAAGGCAGCUCUCUGGCCUGAUACUGACGCUGAGGUGAGAAAGCGUGGGGAGCAAACAGGAUUAGAUACCCUCGUAGUC
Molecule: ribosomal RNA, 466 nt
Filed under: uncultured bacterium
Lineage: Bacteria
Description: partial 16S ribosomal RNA
Rfam family: Bacterial small subunit ribosomal RNA
Source: RNAcentral